GCUUUAAGGAAAGCUCUUUGUUUUUUGAAAUGAUGCUUUUAUGAGAUAGAGCUUUUUUAGAUAAUGCUUUUUUAGAUAAUGCUGGGGAAGGUUUUCCGGUUUAUCUCGGAGGGCUUGUAGCUCAGUUGGUUAGAGCGCGCGCUUGAUAAGCGUGAGGUCGGAGGUUCAAGUCCUCCCAGGCCCACCAAUUUACCUAUCCAUUUGCCUUUAUCCGUUUAUUUGCCGAUUUAUCGGUCUAUUGAAUUUAAGUGUUGGUAGCAGUUUUUAUAAUGAUGAGAAAUCAUGCUUAUAAAAGAACUCCUUAUAAAAGGCUUGUUUUUAAAAUGUGACGCUUAUCCAUUUCGCUUAGGCAAGAGAAACUUCAAGCGGUUCAAAUGCAAAAGGCUUUAAAUUUUGCAAAACACUUUGAAUUUUAAAGUGAUCCAAGUUCGUGAUCUCGAAUUUAAAAGUUUCGAAUGCUUUAUCCUUUUUUGGGGGCCGUAGCUCAGCUGGGAGAGCACCUGCUUUGCAAGCAGG
This 516-nucleotide unclassified non-coding RNA is filed under the name uncultured Bartonella sp. RNAcentral's name for it is "partial 16S-23S ribosomal RNA intergenic spacer". The stretch from base 111 to 184 matches the Rfam family "tRNA". The record is from RNAcentral. Lineage: Bacteria; Pseudomonadati; Pseudomonadota; Alphaproteobacteria; Hyphomicrobiales; Bartonellaceae.